CCCAACUAUCCCUAUUAAUCAUUACGGUGAUCCUAGAAACCAACGAAAUAGAAUCAGUCCGUCCUAUUUCAUUAUUCCAUGCUAAUGUAUUCAGACGAUAGUCUGCUUUAAACACUCUAAUUUUUUCAAAGUAACAGUCCUGAUUUCCCAUCACACCAAAUAAAUGGCAUGAAAGUUCCUCAGAAGGAAAGAUCCAGCCAAGGAUACUGACCUCGCGGUCGUACUAUCAGCCAGAUCAAAAAUUCAACUACGAGCUUUUUAACUGCAACAACUUUAAUAUACGCUAUUGGAGCUGGAAUUACCGCGGCUGCUGGCACCAGACUUGCCCUCCAA
RNAcentral lists this unclassified non-coding RNA (333 nucleotides) under uncultured Diversisporaceae. Its description in RNAcentral is "sequence contains 18S rRNA gene". The record is from RNAcentral. Lineage: Eukaryota; Fungi; Glomeromycota; Glomeromycetes; Diversisporales.